AGGGUUGUGAUAAAAGAAGUUUUAUAAGAAAUAACUAAGUUGAUUCUACUUAUAAAAAUAUUGACUUGAGUUCUUCUAGUUUGUUUAAGUUGGAGUUAACUCUUUUGCAAAGAAAGGUUGGUUUGGAAGUUGUCUAAAUGAUUAUAAGGUAAAUUGAAAGUUAACUCUAAUUAAUUCUAAAUAUGUUGGAUUUUUGAGAAGUAAUGAAGCUUAUACAAUGAUUUC
RNAcentral lists this long non-coding RNA (225 nucleotides) under Elaeis guineensis (African oil palm). Its description in RNAcentral is "long non-coding RNA (EGUI_LNC044161)". Lineage: Eukaryota; Viridiplantae; Streptophyta; Magnoliopsida; Arecales; Arecaceae. The record is from RNAcentral.